Long non-coding RNA from Ictalurus punctatus (channel catfish), 3315 nucleotides. The record is from Ensembl. Lineage: Eukaryota; Metazoa; Chordata; Actinopteri; Siluriformes; Ictaluridae.
AUCACGACCUCUCCGAGUUGGAGAGUUGCCAGUGAAGUCUUGAAAUUGACUCCCCUCCAAUUGCGGUUCUUUGCCAGGGAGUGGCAAUCACCCUCUUCAAUAUGCGCAAGGUGCAGUCGUGCACAUCCUCCCCGUCAAUAAGCGCAACCAGUUUACCUUUAACAGAUUUUUAAAAAAAACAAUAACAUAAUAUAAAACAAUAUAAAAAUAAAUAAAUAAUACACAUGUAUUGCCUCGUCACCUGUAUCAGUGCUUCUCACUACUCCAGCAGUUACUCUACCAAAGAUUAGGUCAUAACUGUUCCUUCAUAUCAAAGUGGUGUUGAAUAUUGUGCUUUGAGUACGAGUGUGUCCUUUUGAGAAAAAAGAAACACUUUUAGUAGCUGUGUAAUUGUGCAAGCAAUUGUUAACAAAAAAGAAAAAAAUCUCAACAGUUUUUGCUUGUAAUCUGGACUCUGUUGCAUUCUUUGCUCCAGACUACGCCAUUGAGGAAGGUCUUGCAGGGGCAGUAAACCUUUCUCAAUAUCCAAAGGCUGCACCUGGACCUCCUGUAGUUGAAGUAAUCUCAGUGGUUUGUUGGUCCAGCACCAUCUCUAAUUUAGUCAGCACCUCCCUCAGCAUGGCUAUGAUAAAGAAGUUCCGAGUCUGACUGGAGGUCUGACCAGGUCCUGCCCUCUUUGGCUUUCCUCCUGCAUUCUUUAUAGCUGUCUGUAAAAUACAGUUGCAUGUAAACAUUAUUCAAUCCCUUCAGGAUCACUCGAUGAGACGAAAAUUUUGUAUGUUGCUAGACUAAGGCUAAGAAUUGCACAAACGCCAUAAGAAAAACAGUGUUGAGCCGAACAACAGGUCUGUUAUACUGCUAAGUGGACAAUAUAAUCAAAUAAGGGGACCACAGCAUGCUGCAAGCGGUGAGGGUUUUCUGACAGAACAUAUUAAAUUAGCAUUAGCUCCAUGUUCUAGAAACUUCUAGCCAAACAUUCAGGGAAAAAAAAGUCAAUCGGAACAAAAGUACAAUAAAAAGUAGCAAAAGAGGAAAGGAAUAAACGAGGAGUUUGUGUCUUAGUUGUAGAGCAAUAAAAAAAAAAAAAAAAACUUUAUAAAAACGUGUCGAGCUGUGAGAAUCAGCAUCUGUCACGACGAUGCCAAACGCUCCGAGUCUCCAGACCGCUUUUAUCCCGAAGAACAACUGAGAGAUCAAAGUCCCCACCCCGUUUCAUCAUUUCUGUCCGAAUUAGCGCGUUAGCUAUCCCGAGGCGGCUGAGCUCCUUAAUUCCAGCUAUGGGCCGACUGUGACUUAACGAACACCGCUACGCCGAGUAUGGACCUGCCGCGCGUACACCAGCUUUCAGCCGAGAUUGGCCCAAAUAGCAAAACCCGUCUGUCGGCCAGACGUGGUGUGAGCAGUCGGCAGGGCUCUGGGCUAUUACCUUUUCACCGAUACCGCCAUUGAGCCGACAACGGCGCAUUUCUACCGGAAUCGGCCCAAAUGUGCUUGCUAUCUGGUAGACUCCUAGUAGGAUGACUGACCUACUACAGGUGAGAUUUUGUCAGUAUGUCGUAUUAUACGAAUACACAAGUUAAUCAUUUCGUUAAAUAAUUAACUGAAAGUGAACUAAAUCACAUUUCACAUUAUAAAUGUAGUAGUAGAGGAGAGGGGGAGACAGAACGGAUAUUCUGUAGAACGGCGUUUCCAUGGAAAGGUUGUGACAUCACUGGAAACAGAACGCAAUUCUGUUCUACAAAAUUUAAAAAGAAGGCAGAGGCUCAUUGUUUCAUUGAACUCGAUUUUUACAAGCUGUUUAUCAGACCUGUUAAGGAGUAAGAUAUAAUGUUACCUUUUGGUAAAUGCAAGAGUUUUACAAGCUUUGCAGCUUCUGGAACUGAAGCCCUUGCUGCUGGAGAUUAUAAUGUCCAAAAGUGUGAAGUUGAGGAGCCCAUUAGGGAAGCCAUCGAAGGCACAGUUGUCCACAAAGACCCAGUGCAGAAUGUCUCUGAUGGAUACAUGGAUGCGGUCAUGGACACGGCCAAGCCUGAGGAUAUUCUGGAGCAUGAGAACUCUGACCUGAAGGACGAAGUAAAAAUACUGCACUGCUCAUUGGACAAGUUGGAGGAAGAACUCCGUGACACUAACCGCAUGCAUGUAAGGAAAUUAACGGAGCAGGAGCAAAAGCUACAGAAAUCCAAAGUCCUUUGGUACCAAUCCGAAGAGACUAAGGAUAUUCUGGAGCAGGAGAACUCCAACCUGAAGGAUGAAGUAAAAAUACUGCACUGCUCAUUGGACAAGUUGGAGGAAGAACUCCGUGACACUAACCUCAUGAAUGUAAGGAAAUUAACGGAGCAGGAGCAAAAGUUGCAGAAAUCCAAAGUCCUUUGGUACCAAUCUGAAGAGACUAAGUACAUUCUGGAGCACGAGAACUCCAACCUGAAGGACGAAGUAAAAAUACUGCACUGCUCAUUGGACAAGUUGGAGGAAGAACUCCGUGACACUAACCGCAUACAUGUAAGGAAAUUAACGGAGCAGGAGCAAAAGCUACAGAAAUCCCAAGUCCUUUGGUACCAAUCCGAAGAGACUAAGGAUAUUCUGGAGCAGGAGAACUCCAACCUGAAGGAUGAAGUAAAAACACUGCGAGCGUCAGUGGAGAAGUUGGAGAGACAACUCUAUGAGACCCAAAAGUUUAAUGAAGAGAUACUGAAUGAGCAGUAUCGAGAGCAGCAGAAACACAUUAACCUUUUGUCCAUGUUUGCAGCCAUUAAGAGUGAAGCUCAGGAGAAAGCUCUGAACGCCAUUGCUCAGAUAGAGAAUGAGAAGUUCGCCCUGAGGAAACAACUGGGAAUUCUGCACUCACUAGAGGGCUGUGCUACAGAGAUCUAAAUCGCACAGGACGCCCAAAGUGGAAAAAAUCAGAUCGCCAACAAAAAAUUCUGCACAUCGUUUAUCACGAUGAACAUAAAAAAUGAGAAAUGAAACCUGAAUUAAAAAAAAGAUGAUUGUAUGAAACAUUUUGAAAUGUUCCAUUUAUAUUAGGGUUGUCAUGAUACCAUAAACAUAUCUUACAAUACUAUACCAGCUGAAGUAUCACAAUACAAGGCAAUAUUGUGUUAAUUCAUCAUUCAAAUCUAAUCUACAAUAUGAACCAAACUUACAGAAAUACAUAGAUAAAAAUGAAAACAAACAAACCGGAUUUUUUAAAAAAUACUUUAUUAAUGAGAAUGAAUAACUGGCUAUUUGAAGAACUCAAGAACAAUCAUACAAUUAGCAAGCAACUAAUUCAACAUGCCACAUAUUUCAUCUAUUGUUCCCUAGAGCAAUGAAAUC